GACGAACGCUGGCGGCGUGCUUAACACAUGCAAGUCGAACGGAAAGGCCCUGCUUUUGUGGGGUGCUCGAGUGGCGAACGGGUGAGUAACACGUGAGUAACCUGCCCUUGACUUUGGGAUAACUUCAGGAAACUGGGCUUAAACCGGGAAAGGGCCUCCUCCGGCUGGGGGGGGGUGGGAAGGUUCGGCGGUUGGGGGUGGACUCGCGGCUUAUCAGCUUGUUGGUGGGGUAGUGGCUUACCAAGGCUUUGACGGGUAGCCGGCCUGAGAGGGUGACCGGCCACAUUGGGACUGAGAUACGGCCCAGACUCCUACGGGAGGCAGCAGUGGGGAAUAUUGCACAAUGGGCGGAAGCCUGAUGCAGCAACGCCGCGUGCGGGAUGACGGCCUUCGGGUUGUAAACCGCUUUCGCCUGUGACGAAGCGUGAGUGACGGUAAUGGGUAAAGAAGCACCGGCUAACUACGUG
This 467-nucleotide ribosomal RNA is filed under the name uncultured bacterium. RNAcentral describes it as "partial 16S ribosomal RNA". It matches the Rfam family "Bacterial small subunit ribosomal RNA", at positions 28 to 507 of the family's 1533-position model. The record is from RNAcentral.